AACAUGGGGGCACGUGGGAGAGGCCAAGCUACACACUGAGCCAGCUGCCACCGGGAAUGGGCCUGAGGCAGGUCAGCAAAAGGCCGAAGGCACCUGGAGACCUGCCACAGCCUGCCAGCAGCUUGUUAGGCUCAGCCACUGAAAGGGCCUCAGGCAGUUCGCAGUUGCAAGAGGGUAGGGGUCUCAGGCAGUCACCAGCUUAACAGCUCUGGCUAGAACCUCCACUACAAAAUUGAAUAAAACUGGCAAGAGUGGACAUUCUUACCUUGUUCCUGAUUUUCGGAGAAAGAGUGAAAAAAAGAGGGAAAGACAGAGAGAAUAUCAGUGUGAGAGAAACACAUUGAUUGGCUGCCUGCUGCCCAGAGCCCGUGCUGGGGAGGAGCCUGCAACCGAGGUAUGU
Molecule: long non-coding RNA, 400 nt
Organism: Myotis daubentonii (Daubenton's bat)
Lineage: Eukaryota; Metazoa; Chordata; Mammalia; Chiroptera; Vespertilionidae
Source: RefSeq, a predicted model, not a curated record